UGAUGGCUGAGACUUCCACUGACAGCUUUGGCACUUGGGUUCUGAGUCAAACUCGAAAAUCCAUGUCUCACCACCAGUAUGCAUAUCUGGCCAAUAUCACUCAAGACAAGCAAAAUGAAUGGAUCAAGUUGAAAGGUUAAACAGACCUUGGGAGAAGAUCUCGGAGUGGGGCUCACAAGAGGAACCAUGACAAACUGGCAAACUCAGUGUUGCCUUUGAGAGAUUGAAAGCUCAUUGACAGAUGCACUGCAGAAGGGGGAGCAAGGAAACCUAGACUGGGAGGAUGCCAGGGAAAGCACAUUUUACAGAGAGGAAGAAAAGAAGUUCCAACAUCUGGGCCUGCUCGCCGGACAGCAGGAGCAACCAGCUUUGAUGAGGCAAGCAACGGGCAUUCGCUCACCUUCACAAUUUCAAGGAACACGCAACGAGAACAAGUCAGCGCUGUGCGACUGUCGGUCACUUCCUGCUGAAAACUACAGGUUCCCCAGAAACCAAGCCGGUAGAUUGUGCCAGCGAGAUUGGCAUGGCACAAGAGCUGGGGGAAGAGCCUGUGUUGCAGCCGCGAGGCAAUUGACCUCCUUGUUUCCCACAAGACUUCUGUGACUGGAAACCCACCGAAAGCGAAGUUCUUUUCAUGGCAGCUGCGGUCAUCGACAUUGUUGAUCAAGGGGACUAGGGCUGCUGUUGUGCUGACAAUCCUCAAGGAUGGGAGACCAGGCUAGGAGGAUGAGGGUCUGGUGGCUCUGUGCCAUAGUAGAAGAACCGGCACCUCUGCGCAUGCUGCUCCUUGACUCGUGGACCAGAUGUCCGGCCAGACAGAUUGUGCCUGUGCACCAAGCGGCCCACCCAUCAGCUUUCAGGGGCGCUCUUGCUGCAGCAGACAAGGUGGCUUGGCAGAAGGACAGGCCAAGGUGGUCGCAUAUCCCGUGCGGUUUACCAUGCCAGGUGCCCUGGACUGGUUCCCUUGGUGGGAACGUUUACCUGGUACGGGACCAACUGGCGUGCGGCAUCAGUUCGUCUGGACCAGACAUCCAACACGGCAGCCCUUUCACCAGCGCCCGCCCAGGCAGUGACGGGGCCCAACAGGUCCAUCUUGCAGUAGCAAGAUGGACCCUGCAGCUAACGCCAGUCACCAAGAACUGGUUCGUGGGCAACUGGAUGACAGCGGCAAGAUAAAACCUGCAGCCAGCACCAACUACCAACAACCGGUUCCCGGUUCACGAGCGGCUGGAUGAACGCAGCGCAUCAUGACUGCACGGUGCAGGGUGAGUGCCUGGCUUUGCGCUUGAGUAAUCAGAUCUUUUAGCCUAGACUUGUUAAAAACCUAUAUUGUGUAUACAACUGCCUAUUAUGACAUUGUGUUUGUAGCGUGUCUCAGCAGAAAGCAGCCUUCAGCAUAGAUCUGAACCAGCUACUAAAGCCAGACCUCAUACUUAUGGGGGAGUAAUUGGGACGUAGCGAUCUACUGCAAUUCUAAUCAAUUAAAGGUGACUCAGGAUUUAUGUCUUAUUGCAAUUGCUUCAAUGUAGUGGAAGAGAACUUGGGGAGUUGGUGCUACUUCGGUGGAUAGGCGUUUGUUUUCUGCUAUAUUUUCCAAGCUUAGAGUUCUUAGAGGAAAAUAGAAUUGAAACACUGGUAAUUUUUACUUGCAUUGCAAUUUGUGCGGAUUUAAAUACGAAAACACCGGUGUACUUAGAUUUAGGUGCAUGUUAAAGAACCCCAGGUGGUCCAAAUUAUUCCGCAGUCCCCCACUACAGCAUGCCUCAUAAUCAGAUCAUGGUUUUGGCACGUAAAACCCCAUAAUUUAAUUAAUCAAUUUGUGCAGGUUUUGCAACAAGUAUUGUGGAAUAGCUGAGUCAAAGCUUAAAGUAGUGACCAUGGACCUAAUGACUUUACUGAGGGCUAACUGUUGCAGUUGUGGGAAGAGCUCGAUGUUGAGGUAGAGGAUGACAGGUCAGAAGCUGAAAUUAGAGCCAUUUUAGAAAGCAACAGUAAUCAGGAAUACUUUGAAUACUUCGGCAAUUUAUUUUGAAAAGACCAGGAACAGGAAGCAAUUGAGCAUGAGCACGAAUUUAAAACACAGGAAUGGAUUAGGCAACAAGAUGAAAAGAUUGAAACUCUUAAGACUAGAGAUUGAAAGAAUGGAACAGGGUUUUGAAGCAAAGCAGCUGAAAUGUCGUGCACUGAAGGUGCGAAGAAGUAGCACGCACGGUUCUGCCGAUGGUAGGAAGAGGCUAAUCCCUGUGAGCCUAAAUGUACGUUCAUAGGUGGUGCCAAAUCCGUAGACCGUGGCAUAGCUGCCGAGAAGCCCAUUGAUGGGGACCGGAUUGAGCACGACGAGUUUACUGAGGGCUAACUUGUUGCGGUUGUGUGAAGACCUCGACAUUGAGGUAGAGGAUAGCAAACAGGUCAGAAGCAGUUAGGCCAGCUGUGGACAACUUGGCACAGUUAUCAAGGGAGUACGAGUACAUCGCGAAGGCAGCUCUUGCAGUAGUAGUCCAAAGUGACCCCGACUAAUUAGACAAGAGCACCAGUGCAGAAUUCAGUCGGUCAGAAAAGUGCUCUAAAGCACAGUGUAGGCAGGGCAGUGCAGUUGUUGACAGCUCCCAGGUUUCCAAGCUUUGUUGCACAAAAGAAAAUAAUAGCAUUGCCCCGAAGUGUUUGAAGCUGUCCGUGAGUUGAUGUAGCAAUGAGAGGAAUGACUUACCCGCAAAUCAUUCAGACUGUGCAGUUGAGAUAGAAAUCAUGACUGAUGAUAUGUGAUCUGGUCAGCACGAGAUGCGAGCAGAAGGCUCAGAGAUGAGCACCAGAAAGCGUGCUAAGAAAAAGCAGUGUCGCGGAGUCAGGAAUGCGGCAGAGAAGGCAACACGGCAGAAUAAAGCGAAAGGCGCAACUGUGGGGAAUGCAGUGAAAGAGUUAAAAAGAAGUGUUUUUUGUCACUUUAAAUGUUUCCAGUCAGAGUGCGUUCGAGCCGCCGGAUGAGAGAAAAAAAGAAGGGGCCAUUCGGUGCGGAGGUGGACAAAAGCCAGGGGGCAAUUAUAUUCCCCCUCAUUCGGUUCUUUUCAAGGUGUACUUUGUAUGACACAGGAGAGCGAGGCAGUAAGGCAACACAAAUUGGUCAUACGAGGCAGUGAAAUUGCAGUGCGAUGCCUAGAAGGCAUGUUAACUAUAUGUGAAGUGUCGGGGUCUGCAGCGAGGGGAAUGACCCACGUGCUCUUCGUAUUCCCUCACUGACAAGACAAGCUUUCAGACCGCGCCCACCUCAAGUAUGGCUUAAAGAUAUGACGCAACUGUGGCUAUUCAGAAUACAAAGUGGUAUGCAGGUUUUGUGGGAGCAAUAGUUUGUUUCUUUAUUUUUAGUGUUCAGUUGAACACUUUGAGAUCUCCGAGACUAGAGAUCAUUUGGAUAUGCAUGUUUCGAGCUUUGUUUAGAUUGAACUGUUUUAGAAGCUCAUCGAUAUUCUCAAAAUGAUGGUUUGCGCGCAGAUAAGUUGUUGAAACUUUGCUUUAUCGAUAUGUCGUUCUUUUUUUAAUCAGAUAGGCUUCUUUGUUGUGUGAGAUAGGCUUGCAGCAUCAAGUCCAGGUUAUUUGUUUGAAGCCUGUAGUGGCACGCUUGAGUAUCAGUUCACUUCAUGGAAGUGUUCGCGAGAUUUUUCUUGGAAAGUAAAACGCGUUAUUUGGAGGGGCCGUUGUUUAACUGCACCAUUUUAGAAAGUGUUUGUACCGUUACUUCAAAGCAUGUCUUGUGCGAACACAAAGAAGCAAAGUGUUGGUGAGUGUUUUGCACAUGUAUCUAUAAGAGGGCAGUGUUUUGAGUAUUGCUUAGAGCGUGUGUGUAAGUAUUUAGAAAUAAUCGCGAAUCUUUGUGUGGUUUUGAGGGCGUAACUUACACAAUAUUUUUUUUUGUUAUCUCUUUAAUGUGUGUCUUUUGUAGACAAGAGGAAGAAAAUGUUAGUGCAUGAGUCGCACAUAUGAGUUAAGAGUUUUGACCGCAAAGCGCAAUUGCGGUCAAAAACGUCGACCGCACAAAAUUUGGGGCCCAAAUUAUUGGGUCAAGCGAAGCCUGGUGGAUUUAAGCUGAUUUCGGGUGCUUUCGCGCCAUGUGGCCCUUUGUCACUGGAAAGGACUCUUCCGUAUUUGAUUGUGAAUCCUGGUCUAAUGUCAGAAUUGUGGGCUUCAGCGAAGGUUUAGUGAUUUGAUUGCUGCUUUUGUACUUUUAUUAGAUAGGGCAGGUGCGUUGCUUUGUUUACUAGACCCGAUGGCUCUUGGUGCGAGCACAGUGCUUUCCUUUGCCCUGUGGUCGUGUGUGUGAUUGCGUGUUUCCAGGACGAAGGCCACAACGAAGCGAAUGCUGAGACUUCAAGCUGCAGUGUGUCAUCAGCCUUCACAUCUGGAAGAUCCCUGAAAUCGCGACUGAACAUCAAUGCUUCGGGCAACCUGGUAGCUGGUCACCCUUAGGUCGAAUCACCCUAUGGCGGAGGAGUCUGUUACCUCUCAAAUGAUGGGCAUUCCUUGUGUGCUUGCCACGAUGCAGCCCUUUCAUCAGCGCCCGCCCAGAUGGCGACGAGGCCCAACAUAGACUGUGACCCAUGAACAAAGAAGCUCCCCUCAAGGUGACAACGACCACUGGAUUCUGUAAAUGCGGUAACCACCAUGAAGGCCAGGCUUCCCGGGCUGCUGCAAGCGACCGGCAUGGAGAUGCCACUAAUUGAUGCAAGGGGCCAACUUCGAGGACUUACUUCAGUGGGAACUGGGCCGACCUGAGGUUCCCAAUUUGCCACGUGGUUGCAUCGUAUGCAGAGGCGAUCGCACAUCAUUGGAGGCGGAGUACGGCAGAAUGGUGCAAUGUCAUGGGUAGGACAUUGCGAUCGGUUCGAUGAUUGUGACUGGCCGACACACUGUGAUAAAAUUCCCUGGUCUAGUCACCUAGAGAAGAUGACUGUUUUAUAAGCAGACACCUUUGGUGCAGUGAGGGUGUCAUGAUGUGUCCUGAUGUGUGCUGAGACAUUUAGUGGGCUUCCGUAUCUGGAGCCAGUGUAAAUAAUGGGAAAAAAAACUUUUUCUUUCGCUCCUACUCCCGGACGUACUCAUACCUGUGCGUGGAGGAUUCCUGGCCUAUACGCUACCCUGAGCCGCAACAAUUGGCAUUGAUCUAAGAAUGCAACUAAAUUGCAGUUGACUGAAUGAAAAACAGAAUAAAUGCUUCAUAAAUUUUCAGCCACUGUCUAACACCUCAGGGAGCACAACAGCGCUACUAAAACGGCUCGCUUAUGUUAUUAAUAACUACAUGUAUUCGCAAAGUGUAACUGACCUUUAUUGUUCUAAACGCAGUGCACUUGUUGAUUAAUGGACGAACCCUAAAUCACACAAACACCGAGUACUCGUGUUUGUUUGAUUUUUAUAUGUUUCAACAAGUGUGCUGCCUUUAGAACAAUAAUGGCCAACCAAUACCUCCUCAGCAAGUACAACUGACCUGUUCAAGAGAUAUGGCAUCUUUAUGAGCAUAAGCCCGUAGAUGAUGUGCCCAAUCUGGUUGCAGAAUAGUAGCAGGUCAAAUAGUCAAAACGAAUUGGCCAUAAUGAGAGUGGAUCCAGGUUUCCAAGUCAGAAUGCAAUCCAGAAGUAGAGAUUGUGGAAGGCCGGCACCUUUUGCUUUUGUGCUGGUGUUCAGGAAAUUCAGCUGGGUUUUGAUUGUGUGAUGUGGCAUCCAGGCUGACUUGGCACAUUCAGUGCAGGCAGUUGAGAGCCCAUAAAAAGACAACCUGUAGAAUAAAUGGCAUCCUUAUGGCCCUACUUAUUUUUCACAGUGACAUGCCCAAGUCAUUGUAGAUCUUGGCAGCUUAAGUAGUUGAGAUGAAGUGGCUGCAGUGUACAGGUUAGUUGUACUUGCUGAGAAGGUAUUACUGGGCUAGUUGGUUGACCAUUAUUGUUCUAAAGGCAGCAUACUUAUUGACACAUAGGAAAGCACUAAAUCGCACAAACACAAGCAUGAUCGUGUUUGUGUGAUUUAGGGCUCGUUUGCAUGUCAACAAGUGCAUUGCUUUUACAACAAUAAAGAUCAGUUAUACUUAGCGAAUACAUCUACUAAUACAAGCAAGCCUUUUGAGUAGGGUUGUGCUCCCUGAGGUACUGGACAGUUGCUGGAAAUGUAUGAACCAUUUAUGCUGCUUCUCAUUUCCUCUUUUCACAUUGUCUCCUUCCUGCUUGCUCUGGCAGGCAACAUGUAAUUAAACCUUGGCCCUGACGAAUUCACUAUGUCAUUGUAAUUCAUUUCACUAACGCUGUCUCAAUUAGAAAUGUUCCAGUAAACUAACUCGACAACAUUUUUAAUGCCAGCAGACGAGGACGGAAGGAAGACGUGGACAACACAAUGCGCCUAGUUCAACAAAUUUAUUCCCCCCCAAAAAACACCUUUCUACACCAUGCACAGUAGCGCCACACCUGAUCAAUAUGCCAAACUGAGUUUUCCAAAAAGGCCGCUUCUUUACCUAUCAGGUUGAUAGACAGAGUGCUUAUACAGCUUUCACCACUCUGUUUGAUAGCCUGUGCCUCAAUAAUUUCACGCACAUCUUUAUCUCUGUGCCUGGCCAAAGUCAUAAAAUCGCCAAACAAAGGAGUGCAGCCUCAUUCAUGACAGUGAACAGACAGGUGACUGUCACGGUAAUUUACAUUUAAGUAAUGCUCUCUUAUGUGGUCAUUAAGACAUCAUCCUGUCCGUCCUAUGUAUUUCUUACCGCAGGACAGCGGCAACUCGUACACCACUGCUCUCACAAAAGGAUUUCGGUGCGUUUUGGAACACCUGACCACAGACUUCCGGCACGGGUCUGUCAACCAACACACUCUGCUAAGUUUAUCGGGUGCUGGAAAAAGCAACUGUUGCGUUCACACGACUAGCAAUUUUUUUCAGACAGCGUGCCAUCCUGUGUAGGUAGGGCACAACCGCUACCUUUCGUUUGUUUUGUCUCUGUUCAUUUAUUGUAUCCCGAGUGCUAUUUUCUACACAUCUUUUCAGGAACUACAGAAAGCUGCAAGGACUUCGGAAACCCUGCUUUAGAUAAUCGUUCCGAUUGAUUCUUCAGGUUUGUGUAAAUCUUGUGAUGGCAUGGCUUUCUUAAAGCAUUACCAAGGCAAAAGUUAGCAAUGCUCCUUUUAACAAGUUUCAAAUGGGCAGAGUUGUACGGUAGCAAGGGCUAUUAGCUCUAGGCUUAUAUAUCAACACGUGUGUUAGUCCGAAAACUCAAGCUAGAUGUCUAAGAACUGCAGUGCUCUUUCGGCGGGCAAGUCCUUCGGGCGUCCGAAAGUCUGUGGUCGGGUGUUGCAAAACGCAUCGAAAUCCUUUUGUGGAUUGUGAAGAGGCAAUCGUGUACGAGUUGCCGCUGUCCUGUGUAAGAAGUACAUAGGACAGACAAUGUCUUAAUGACCGCAUAAGAGAGCAUUGCUCAAAUGUGAAGAAUUACCAUGAGUGUCACCUGUCUGUUCACUGUCACGAAUGUGGCUGCACUCCUUUGUUUGGUGAUAGUGUGGUUUUGGCCAGGCACAUAGAUAAAGAUGUGCGUGAAAUUAUUGAGACACAGGCUAUCAACCAGAGUGGUGAAAGUUGUAUAAGCACUCUGUCUAUCAACCUGAUAGGUAAAGAAGCGGCCUUUUUGGAAAACUCAGUUUCGCAUAUUGAUCAGAUGUGGUGCUACUGUGCAUGGUGUAGAAAGGUGUUUUUUCGAAAUCCUUCCGUGGAUUUUGAAGAGGCAGUGGUGUACGAGUUGCCGCUGUCCUGCGGUAAGUACAUAGGACAGACAGGACAAUGUCUUAAUGACUACUUAAGAGAGCAUCAUUUAAAUGUAAAGAAUUACUGUGCUAGACCAACACAUGUGUUGGACAUAUAAAUGUAGAGCUAAUAACAAUAAGCCCUUGCGACUGUACAACUCUGCCCAUUCGAAACUUGUUAAAAGGAGCAUUGCUAACUUAGGUCUUAGAAAGGCAUUAAAAAAGUUGUGCCAUCACAAGAUUUACACAAGCUUGAAGAAUCAGUCAGAACGGUUAUCUAAAGCAUAAUUUCUGGAGUCCUUAAGGGUUUCUUAGCAGAGGGGUUGCUGAGAAGAUGUCGUGUAGAAAAUAGCACUCGGGGCACAGCAAAUGAACAGAUACAAAACAAAAGGUAACAGUUGCGCCCUACCUACACAGGACGGCACACUGUCUUUAAAAAAUUGCUAGUUGUGUGAACACAAGAGUUGUUCUUUCAGCUCCAAAUAAACUUAGCAGGGUGUGUCAAUUGACAGACCCGUACCAAAAAUCUGCAGUUUCGUGUUCCAAAGGCAUCGAAAUCUUUUUGUGGAUCGUGAAAAGGUAGUGGUGUAUGAGUCGCCGCUGUCCCGCAGUAAGAAGUACAUAGGACAGACGGGAUGGUGUCUUCAUGACUAAAGAGAGCAUCGUUUAAAUGUGAAUAAUUACCAUGAUGGUAAUCUGUCUGUUCACUGUCACGAAUGCGACUGCGUUCCUUUGUUUGAUGAACAGUACGGUGCCUGGGCUCUUGAGCACUUAUUAAAAUGUUUGACUGACACUAUUCUCUGCAGUUUAUUCAUAGACCAGUGCCAAGGUGAAAGAACAUACAUGAAGCUGGUGUCAAGAAGCAAAAGGCAGAUAGGAAAGAGAACGAAGAGAGUUGCAGUCCUUUGCUUCUCCAACAAUGGGACACCUACACAAAGAUGACUUAGACUGGAGGCAUCACUAAACUAUAGUUUUGUUUUUCUUCUUGUCGUCUGGGGAUAACUCGCAUGCAUCUGCAAUUUUACUCCAGCUAAUACCGCAAGUAACAGUGUAGUACUUACUGCAAAUAAUAUUAUGCCAGCUGUCAUGCCACUGCAUCGCGUUAAGGGCAAAACUGCAACUUUUUCGUUACACAGGCAUUCUGCAUAAAGGCGGCUAGUCCAAAAGAAACUUUGCAUGUGUGCACAGCAGAGUGACACCCCAUUCAAAAUUUGAUUUAAUAAUAAGCUUUACAUUGUUCAUAGUUUAAUUGUUUCAAGGCAUUCACUUAUGAUGCCAGGACAGAGUCUUGCAACAAAGCAGUUACCUCAUGAUUCUGAACUUCCUGCUUCUCAUGUGAACUCAUUCUGCCAUGUUCCAUCAAACACACUGACUUCCCAGUGAAAACACUUCAUCAAUAGAGCAUCCAAAUCAUGUCCUAAUGUCCGUGCACCAUUUCGGAGACAAAUAAGCCAUUUGGUGGAUGUCCAGUUAAGGAUAUCCUGCCAUGCAUGUCCCAAGGAUAUCGCACAUGGAUAUUUUUUGAGAUACACAUGAAUAUGUGUCCUGCAAGCGGCGGCGUCUUUGAGUUCCCUUGUAAGAUAAUUAUGUUUGCUCACAUGUUUGAAUUACAAUUCAAAGCUAUCAUGUCUGCAACUCGUGUGUGCAUUUUACCGAGCGAAUUUUCUGGCGCAAUUUACUUGGGAAAAUUAUGUUAGUUCAAUAAGCCACUUGCACUUAGCAGAAGGCUAGAAGAAUUAGGAGCAUACUGCACUUCCGCAUGCGUGCCUGGCAUGCAUGCGUAACGUGUGCACUCAAUGUACUAUCUGUUCUUGAUGUGUGGGCGCUUUGCCUGGUUGCAUCUGUCACGCAGGGUGUGCUGUGAAAGUAAUAGGCAUUACAGGAAACUUUCUGUGAAAGGACCUGGCACAUGUAUGUAAAAUGUAUAGUAUGUCCUCAUGAUGUCCCUCGCAGACUUGCAAGGCAUGUGCGCAGGACAUGGAAAGUGUGGCCAAAGGAUAUUUUGAGGGACUGUCCACAGGACGUAUUCGACACAUCCCUAGGAUAUCCAUUGGAUGUCAUUGUUGUCUCUGGGUUUCCACACGGCUGUUAUGCUGACGAAUGUAUGAAGUUACACACCAAAAGAAGGAAGUCCAGGACACCAUUAUUGAGUCGAGUCUCGUUAUAACGAAGUCGCAUAGGCCACAAAAAUACCUUUGUUAUAUGCAAUAUUCGUUGUAAGUGUACACACACAAAUGUCGGUGAAAAAAAUUCGCUAUCACUUCAAUGCAAGAAACAUUUUUUAAAUGCAAGCAGGGUGCUCUAACGGGCCAGCAAAAGAUCUCCUGCAGAUUUUGAUGGCCCGUCGGCAUCUUGCCAUGCUGAUACAAGGCAUGGGAGCAAGAAUAAAUGCUACAUGUGGGUGCUCUGCAUGUCGUACUGCGUACAAAAUUUUGGUUAUUAUUAUUCUAGUGUUAGGGGUAGGUAGCGGUGCUGCAGGGAAGUGUUAAAAAAUCAUGCAUAUAAAAAUUUGUCGGUGACAGUAUUUAAUAUUUUUUUACCAGAAUAUAUAAAUUAAGGCACCUGCAAACAAAAUUUGCUUCGCUAUACCCGAUAUAGAGUUGGAUACCACAUUUUUUAUUUUGUUAUAGCAGUAGGAUACUCCAUUGAAAUAAAGCAUAGCCAACCAAAUUUCAUAUUUACUUCAUCAUAUCCGAUAAUUUGUUAUAUCUGUGUUGGCUGUAUUGAGGUUUGACUGACAUUUCUAUUAUUGCAGAGUUCUUCGCUUACCCCUGAAAUUAAAGAAUAUGAGCCUCUUUACAUCAGGUCAUACAAAAUUCAUAGACUUGGCAGGAUCGGGCAUCAGGCUGGCAGUAUUUAAUACUACUUCAAAAACCUAGCAUGGUUUCCUCUUGGCUAGCUGUUCUCCCUAGCAAGACGAACACUUUGGGGGAGUGGGUAGCAUUUCCAGAGUGAUUCUUAGAAAGCCUUCAGGCUCUCCAAGCUUGGAGCAGAAAUGUAAUUUGUGAAUGAGAGUUUUUGUUUGGAAAACAGCCUUGCAAGGCAGCCUAUUACAUAAUUUUGCUAACUGUCCAUUGUGCUCAGAGUUGCAGAGAGCUUCUCCUGUGUUUUCUUGUUGGAAAUUUCACAUACAGUACCUGCAGCAUACAAUUUAUUCUUGAGCGAGUAAUACGAUUAUCGACCUCUGUGGAACAGGCAACUUUUGCGUUUUCAGGCGUCCAAAACAGACACCAGCAAGCUACCUGUCAAUGCCCUUCUAAAGUGCGAGAACUGUGUAAUAUUCCGAGAAGUGAUAUUGAUCUGGACAGCAACAGGCUUACGAAAAACAGAUACUGUGAAACAUUGAAUCCAUAAAUAAAACAUCACACAGCUACAGUUAACCAUGCACAUCACGAGGUCGUAUCACGAAUGCUUCCCCCUCAAAAUCUUCAUUGUAUUAUUCCUGAAAUUUAAGAGCCCUGAAAUUGAUGGACGUUUUCCAAAUCUCCUGUAAGUUGGUCUGUAAGGCUCUGCAGAUAGCCGAAAAACUCUUUUAAAAACUCGGACCCAUUGCGUAUCUGUUAAGAAAGUGAGUGCUAUGUUUUCUUGGGACCUGCUUACCCAUUGAGCGAGCUUUGAACUACUGCUGGUCCCACAUCACACUGCUUGUUGUGGGGGCCCCUCAAAGAAGCACAUCCUGCAUCAUCCUGAAGAACUGGUGCCGUGAAGUGCCCAGUGCCAAGCUGCCAUAAUGCCAAAUUUUCUGGAAUAGUGCACCCAGAAGAAAGAAGUACAGACUUUGCCGAUAAUGCAAAGCAGUGGCGCAAUAGCUGGUGCAAUAUUUGGCACAGUAAGCCUUGCACUGUUUCGUGUGGUAUUUAUUGUAGUAAAUAUUCGCAGGUGUGUGCAAGCAAUCUGCUUUAGAGAAGAAUGUUUUUCGGUGUUGACUAUAGCACAUGUCCUCAUUUGUAAAUGUGACAUUUGCCGGUGGUGAAUUGGAAAGACACUAUUUCUUCUUCUUUGUCUUUCUUACCCAACCUUUGACUCCUUACCACUGGCUUUGUGUAAAUUCUUUCUGGUCGGUGCUAGUUUAUAAAUUACCUAUAGGAGCAUGGCAUCUGCCAUUGUAGCUCUCCAGGUGCAUUUUUCUUUUCUCUUGUAGCAUCGACAGAAGCGCAAUAUUGUGUGUCGUAAAUGUUGCAGUUUUGUGCAGUAUUGGUUGGAGUAAACAUUAGAAUAUGCACAUGAAGCAAUCUACUAUUGAGAAAAUUUAAUUAAUUGUGGAGAUGGCGCUCCUGGUGGUAAAGUGAAGAGAGACGGGUAUUUUUUCCUUCUCUUUCCUAUCCUGCCUCUCGCACUUUACCGGUGGCUUCAUUUACGUUCUUCCACCUCAGUGCUGGUUUAUAGGUAAACUGCAGAGUGUGGCAUUGGCCAAUCAGCAGCUAGCGGCGUGAUCACACUCUCCAGAUGCAAUGUUUUUCUCUGCUAUAGUGUCACAGCCGUCCCCGAUUCGUCGUCGGCGCGAAGUCAAUCGACGGGGUAGACAAGCUGGUUGGUCGUUCCGUACGCAAGCGAGCACAGUGAAAAGAGUCAGAGUCGGGAGUAAACAAAAAAACAAGAUAUUUAUCGGCUGAUAAAUACACACAGAUUAAUAAAAUACAAUAAUAAAAAAGACACAAGACAGACUAACACACCUGAGCUUAAUAUACACAAUGAUAAGGACAAAUAAAUACGAGCGAUUAACAGUACAUCUAAAAAUGAAACAGUGCGAGGAUCAAAUACACAAGAAUACACUUAACAGCAUUUCACUAAAACAACGUUCAAAAGAAAUCAAAGUUCAAAAGAAAACAAAUGGUGUCAUACGCAUGGCCGGGCAGCAGCAGCAAGUCCAUAAACCGUGGAAGUUGGUUCACAAAGCUUUCCCGAAGAAUGCUGGCGGUCCGAUCUUGUCGAGGUGGAUGCGAAUUGCUGAGCUGGGUUUCCCGGGAGUCUAGAUUGGACGUCUUCUCUCAAGCAGGUUGAGCUAACUUGAGGCAAACUACCGUGAGUUUCGUUGCAGACGCUGGUUUGACGCCUCGUACGUCAACAAGUUCCUCGGAGUUCCGACGUGGCCAGGCGGCCCAGGCGAUACUGGACGGCACUAGCCCCCUAAUGGCUUCUCAGCAGCGCAUAGGUUCAGCUUCUAGACUAAUCAGCAGGGCCCAAAACCUGCGCUUAAAUAGCCUCUCCUUUCCCUAGUUCCCUAGGUAGGGAAACUGCCGCUAUGUAGCGUUCUCCGAAUUCAGCGCUCUUAGCUCCCAACAAUCUUGGCCGCGCCCUUUCACUAUGGACGAAGAACCGCAGAUUAUCCUCUCUCCCAAUGUCAAGGGCCAAGGUCGAGCCCGGCACUACCACGUGGCCGUACACGCACACUUCGGGGUCCGUAAUCAGCGUGUCGCGUCUGGAAUCGAGAUGGCAGCCCGAGCGGCCACGACGCUUUUGACGCCCGUAAUUCGGCGUGUCGAUGUCGAAUGCAUUAUACGCUGCACAGUCAGGAGCCCACGUUUUUGACGCUCGUAAUUCGGCGUGUCGUUAAUCAGUGUCCAAACCAUUCGAAAAUAUGCCGCUCCGUGACAUAUAGAAUCGGAGAAAUGACUGAGAGGUAAAACCUGCUGCUCUGUGGGACUGGAGUUCGAAUCCACUCAGGGCACCGUGCAUUUUUUUAAUUUAUUUCUUUAUAAACUUCUCGCAAAGCACUCUGGGAUUGCUACAACAGAUGCCAGCCAACAUUGGCACCAGUGGUGGAUAUCAAAACAAUUAGGGAAGAGAGCCCAUAACAGUUAUCACUGUAAAAAAUAAGUGACCAGAUGCACACAUCACAAGCUGCAGCGAACUUUACUCUGAGCACUCGAUGCUUGAACUAGGAAGGUAUUUUGGGAACGAGAAUUUUCGAGUGCUUGCAAAGCCGCCUUGGGUGUUCAACUUGCAAGGACAUGGGAAGAUUAAUUGACUCUUCCGAUAAUCCUGCAUGUAAGAUGUCUGGCAGUGGGGUAUUGUCGUCUUUGUCACUCUUGCCCAAUAUAAUUUUAUUCUUCAAUUCCUCAAGUGUAGAAAAAAAUGUAAUUGAAGAAAGAAGGGACUGAGAUGAAAAAAAAAAUUGUUGUCCUUUUGUGCAAUUUAUUGAAUCCACCUUACAGUAUUUUUCACGCUUUGCUUGGUCACAUAUGUCAUUUAUUGCGGUUUGUGAUAAACUCCUCACAGCACAUUCAUGCUAGUGAACUGACAGAUGUUGCUUGCUGCAUUUAACAUUCUAUACAUUUUUGUCUUUAAUCUAUGGACGUAUCGGUACUCAAGAUUUUUUUCAGGUGUGGCAGCUAGGGCAUUUACAUGAACCCUACAAAAGUGAUUCAAGUUGGUUUGUCGGGCUGAGGUUUGCAUGUAGCAUUCGUAUAAGUAAAUACAGUAUAAUCUUGUUAAAUAGAACCUCAAGGGACUGGUGAAAUAGUUUCGAAUAACAGGAGUUAAUGUUUACUGAGAAAGAUGUACAGAGGUAUGGCAUAAUAUGUCAUACACCUUCUUAACACUGUUAGAGAUGCUAACCAUAAAGAAGUGAAUGCAGCAGCUAGUUUGCCCCGUGUUUCUGUUGGGGCUGACAGCCACUAGUUUAACUGGGCUUUGCUAGUUCCGGUUUUGAGGAGCCGCUGACGACAUUUCAAAAUAAAAACGUAGGUCUUACUGCUCCAGUCUGUAGCUGAAUAACAUGCAGUCGUGCAAGGGGAGCCCAAAUUAUGGUACAAGAGCACUGUAACGUGUUUGAAAUUACAUUUGUCCAUAUUUUGGUUGUCUGUGGGGCAAGUGGCAGUGCUGCGAAGCUGUCCAGGUCUGUACAUGCUAUGCGUUAAAAUCUAUCAAAUCUUUGCCUGCUUCAGUCUUUGCAGCCGCUUUUCAAGAAUGGCUUUUUGGAUAGAAGACAGGUGUCUAAAAAAUAUAUCUUCAGAUCCUGCUGAAAUUGACAACAAAGUAUGAAAUUGACAACAAAAAGCACAAGGCAGUAAUUAUUUGGAAGGAAUAUGGUCUAAAAUUGGUGUAAUGAUGUACUUUGCAUAUAUGACUCAUUUAAAAGUGGCAAUAUUGACAAUAUAAAAGAAUGUUUUAUUCUCAUAAGCAAAAGUAUUUGUAUUGUAUACAAGUGAUGUGCUAAGUCCUCCAUGCAAGUUGAGUUUGGUUUGCUCUGGCUAAACUUGGGGACAGUGGUGUGGCCUGCUUCCACCAAUCUGUGCAGACACUGCUAUUCAUAACAGGGUGAUCUGGCAGCAGUCUAACUUGUCCUCUACCAGCUCCAUGCAUACUUGAAGCUUCAACUGGUAAGCAAUGUGAGAGCAGGAUGUCGGACAUCUUGCUUUGCACUCGAACAUCUCACCACCACCACGUGUUUGAGUGCGGGAGCAGUUGUUAGACUGCUCCCGCACUCAAACCAAGCAUUUGAAAUCUGGCAAGGAGGAGCCAAUGAAAUCCUCUUACUUGGAUUGAAUGAACUGCAGAGGGAUGCAAAUUUAAGACACACAGCACUGAAUGAAUGUCUUGCACAUGGGCGACAGAGGUAGUUUUGCUUGCUUGCUUCAAAAAAGUCAAUCACAAGGCCUUUAAACAUAAGAAAAGUCAACAACACAAGAUGGCCUGGGAGCAUCACACCAUUUACCGCGAGAUAGUGUGCAAUCAGUGGUCAUGGCACAGUCCUAAAAGCAGGUUAAAAAGAAUAGUGGCAGCAUAAAAAGCUGCAUGAGGCUCAACUUCUACGUUUUCAAAUCAGAAAUAUACCAUGCACAAUCUCCACGUGUCCUAAUUUGGUGACAACAGCUGCAUCUAUUGGUGGAUCUGGUAAUUUCAUCAAAAACAUCGCUACAAGACCCUAGAAUGCCCACUUUCUCUCCUCUACUUCAAUUGCAGGAGUUCUUGAGACUUUCAUAGAGGCUGUUUCAACAGAUAUCAGAAAAAGCUUCCAAGUGCAAAUCAGCUGUAUUUCUUAUGUGUGAAUGAGUGACUUGUGGGAGAGUUUUAUAUAGUUGACUUGAGCCCAAAAAACAUUUCCACGAUUUUGUUCGAUGGUGUUUCAAUUUCAGGAAAAACAAACAGCCUGCAGGCGUAAUUAAAAGAAAAUGGACUCAGUUUGCUUUUCAUGCACUCUUAAAGCCACCUGCUCCAGCUUGCCCUAAUCCAUUGUUGCAGGCAGACACUGCCUAUCGAAAGAGUACUAAAUAAUUUGAUUAAAUCCACUGCAGCUAUGAGGAUACUGCUUCUUCCUGUUAGAACUGCUGGAGCAGAAACAAGCUUCUCCGCCUUGAAUAGGAUCUUUACUUCCGAAAAGUUUCACUCAACUCCCAGUCAUGUGGACACACUCAUGAAAAAUUGUAUAGAAGGCCCUAGCAUUUGCAGUAUUAGAAGUGCAACAAACAUUUUUUUUGUUGUUGUUUAUCAACCAAGCAUACAUAGUCUGGGCAAAGGAAGCACAUCAAGUAUUGUAGAUCUGGGCAAGGGAUUAUCAGAGAUAUUUAUCUUAGGUGCUACUGCAAAAUACUUUUUGGGUAUCUAAUCUUUGUAUCAUGCAUUCAGCAAGGCUGUACAAAACUAAGAUAAUUAAGGUAUUGUGUAUCUUAAAAUGCAAGGUAAUCCUGUCAUGAAAUCCACAAAGGUGCCCAGAGUCGCAGAGGGCUAGCAAGUGAUAGUUAAAGCUUAUUCUAAGAGGUGGUGAAUCUUUGCUGUCCUAUUUUCUAAUAGUAAUAAGUAACAACUAAAGACAAUCUGGACUAUGGAGAAUGCACAAUACAGUGCCACCUAGAAACUACACACUUUUCUACUGGGGAGCACCAGCCCAACCUUUUAAGACUAGCAUUCUGUGUAGGUGCUAUCAUUUUCAAGAAGCUGCUGCAAGAGGCCACAUUUACCUAGCUCUGAUUGGUUGGUGAAGCCUAGAAUGAGAUUGUGGUACUGAGACAAUACUCAUAAGCACUAUGAUGGCUUCUUGGAGCUUACACAUGAAAGGUGUGCCUUGAAAGGAGCAUUCAUCUGAGUGCAUCUAGAAAUCUGCAAAUAGCCCAAGUGUGGGAGAGAGCCAGCUAGCUAUUGAGACUGUUCCUGGAAGUGAGACCUGCCAGCUGCCUGUCUUCUUACCUUUCAUGCAGGGACAAUGUGCUUGCGGUUUUGAGCUGCUAACUUUUCUCUCACGAAGGCAGAGCCAGUGAAAGUGAAUUGAAGUAUACGGAGUUCUGCGAUGGCUUCAGCCCAUCUGAUUGGCUUUAUAGUAUGUCACGAGGUUCUGGCUUAGGGAUCUGAGAAAGGCCAAGGCUUUCAAAGAGGACACCUUGGGUGUGCUUCUUACUAGCUUAUAAACUCCUGUAAAUACAUACUAUGUAAAGUAAACCAGUUGCUCUUCGAUCUUUGUCGGACUCCUGCUCUUCACUUUGUCUUUCUGCCCAGUGUAGGAGGGAUGAUUAAUGGCGUGGGCCAGCUACCAGUUUUGAGAGGUGCCCAGCACAACCUUUUAUAACCUUAAUUUUCUUGAGAUAACAGGAUGCUGCAUGUGGGCCUUGCACAUAUUGAUAACAAGAACCAAGUCAGGCAGAACUAACACCCUACAUAAUUCUUAUAAAAAUAUAUCACUAAGGAGCUAUAGUUUGCAAACAACCUAAGACAUUUUUAUCAGUUUAUAAAGAUUACUUAUUGACUUGGCAUGUUUCAUUGUCUUAGAGUGUGUGGUAUUGGAAGUAUGUGCCACAGUAAAAUGGGGCUGGGCUUCUGAAGCUGCCCUUUGACAGCCUUUUAUAAGAAUGCAAAGAAGCACCACAAUAGAGCGAGUGCUGAUACCAAAUGUGGGUCAUCACUCAGAUUUUGUACGCCAUGUGUGAGUAGGGGUGUGCGAAUAUUCUCAACUUUCGAAUAAUGAAUCGAAUAUUGUCUUAUUUGAUUCAGUCUUCAAAUCAAGUAUUCACUAUUUAUAAGUACGAAUAUUUGUUCUAAUAGUUUUUUGAAUAUUUAAAAUCGUCAACUGUACUUAAUCAAGUAUAAAAAUUCAAGAAGAUACGGUAAAUUUCAUUCCUGCAGCUAUAGCAACAUGAAAUAUAUGAAGUUAUGUAAUGGAACAGGCUACAUCGCUUGGGGAGCCAAAUUGUGCUGUCUAAACUGCGAUCAUUCACACUCUCCGAAGAGUCCUGUGUAUGUGAACGAACUGCGUAUUUGUUUGUAAUGCUCCGUUUAUGUUUUUAAUAAACAACACUUCAUAACAUGCAAUGUAACGACUGAAACUUGCUAAGUUUAUAUACAUAGAAUGUUAAGAUGGUGUUACAUUAAUGGUGUAAACGGCCAUUCAUUAAUCAAAUUCGAUUCAUAUUCAAUUUGGUCUCAAAAAUUACUAUUCACACGUCCAUAUUUGCAAGUUCUUUCUUUUUUCUUGGCCGCCAUUUUUUCUAUUUCUCUUUCUUUCAUUAAAUUUAUCCCAGAGCUUAGGAACAGUUUACUUCUUUAACUUUUGAAAUAAAACCCUUGGUUUCCAUUUUCUGAGUUCACCUUGCAUUUUGCCUUGAAAGUCAAAUUGGCAUUUUUUUUUUUUCAGAAGGAUGCGUUGGCACACACUGCAUGUUGUUUGAAAAUGGUGUUUAGAGUACUGUAAUGGUUUAUAACACAAGUGUUCUUGAUAUUGUGUAGCAGAGCAAAGAGAUUUUUAUACAUGCCUGCCUAUACCCAUCGGAUUAUGUGACUGCAGCAUUAUUUAACCAAAGAUAAUGCAAAUAUAUACAAUGAAAAUGUUGGAAGUUCUUUAGAAGUGUGUCUGGGACAUUCCGCAGCGAUGUCGCCACUCUCUAGAUCUGUAGCCCACAACACAGCAAGGGCAACUCAUGGUGAUCGGGAAAAGUGUUCUGUAAUCUCCCAUGAAAAUAAAAUGAGCUAAAGAACUUCCAAAGGGAAGCCUCAGUUCAGUUAUUUGGAUGUAUACUUCUUCAAGAUCUCCUGUAGCUGGGCUAAUUCCACGUUAGUAGUGGUCCAAAAAACUCCUUUAUUAAGUUUAUGAGAAUAUGUUAGACCUUUAUCUCUGUUUUCCAAUAACCGCAAUUAAUUUAUAUCAGAAUAACAGAAGAACAGCCAUUUAUACGAUCAUAAAAAGAAUUUGUCUGGAUAAAAAUCACCAGCCCUUCCCCUGUCGAGAAAGUGGGGGUAAGCAAAGCUUGUCGUGUGUGUAUCUGACCUUCGUGGUGAUUUUCUUUCUUUCACUCUCUCUCUCCCUCUCUUUUUCUCUCCCUCUCUCUUUCUUUCUCUCUUCCAUUCUCUGACCUUUGUGGUGACUUUCUUUCUCUCUUUCCUUCUCUCUCUAUUUCUUUCUCUCCCUGUCACUUUCUCUCUUUCUUUCUCACUCUUUCUCUCUAUGUAUCUUUCUCUCUCUCUUUAUUUCUCUAUCUCUCUUUCCCUCUCUCCUUAUUUCUUUAUUUCUCUCUCACUCUCUCUUUCUGUCUCUUUCUUUUCUCUUUCUUUUUUGUCCCUGGUAUGUGCCAUUGAGCUUGGACCUUUUCUGCACUAUUGCCAAGAUCGGCCCACUUUUCAGCGUGACACUGCCGCCGCCACCACCACCACCAUCGCUGACACUUGUGAGCCUAUAAAGCUUCGCUUAAAAAAUGGCCCCCAUAGUAUAGGAUUCGAACUCAUGUCUUCUCAUUCGCGAGCCUGAUGCUUUAAACAUCGUACACCGCAGCUCUUUUUUUUUUCUGUACGGCAUGGUAAAAGGGCAGUAGCUCUCUACAACCAGUAAUGCUUAGUUACACACUUAGUUAAUACUCAGGCAGGCAAACACAGGCAUCUAACAAGGACAAGCCUUCAGGCUGCUGCUCUUGAGCCGCACACUAUGUACAUAAGCCACUGUUUCCCGAAUAAACAAUUUCGGUGAUCACGGGGUUUCUGCGUGUUUAUCGUGCAUCCUACUUUUCCACAGACUAUGUAAGCCAUUUAGUACGAACAUGUUAUAUUAUGGGGGAUCUUCGAGAUUUUUGA
Dermacentor silvarum is the source of this 19751-nucleotide long non-coding RNA. RefSeq lists it as uncharacterized. The transcript has 7 exons. Lineage: Eukaryota; Metazoa; Arthropoda; Arachnida; Ixodida; Ixodidae. The record is from RefSeq and is a predicted model, not a curated record.